Molecule: long non-coding RNA, 120 nt
Organism: Haliotis rubra (blacklip abalone)
Lineage: Eukaryota; Metazoa; Mollusca; Gastropoda; Lepetellida; Haliotidae
Exons: 3
Source: RefSeq, a predicted model, not a curated record
CGACGUAAAAGCUAAAAUCUAAAUCUACAAUGAAAACAGGAUUUCAUGAAACGUAAACAACUGAACAAACACGGACAAACCGUGAAUAAACAGUGCAAAAUACGAAUAAUUUCAACCCAU